AGUGAACGCUGGCGGUAGGCCUAACACAUGCAAGUCGAACGGCAGCACAGUAAGAGCUUGCUCUUACGGGUGGCGAGUGGCGGACGGGUGAGGAAUACAUCGGAAUCUACUUUUUCGUGGGGGAUAACGUAGGGAAACUUACGCUAAUACCGCAUACGACCUACGGGUGAAAGCAGGGGAUCUUCGGACCUUGCGCGAUUGAAUGAGCCGAUGUCGGAUUAGCUAGUUGGCGGGGUUAAGGCCCACCAAGGCGACGAUCCGUAGCUGGUCUGAGAGGAUGAUCAGCCACACUGGAACUGAGACACGGUCCAGACUCCUACGGGAGGCAGCAGUGGGGAAUAUUGGACAAUGGGCGCAAGCCUGAUCCAGCCAUACCGCGUGGGUGAAGAAGGCCUUCGGGUUGUAAAGCCCUUCUGUUGGGAAAGAAAAGCAGCAGGUUAAUACCCCGCUGUGCUGACGGUACCCAAAGAAUAAGCACCGGCUAACUUCGUG
This 492-nucleotide ribosomal RNA is filed under the name uncultured bacterium. Its description in RNAcentral is "partial 16S ribosomal RNA". It matches the Rfam family "Bacterial small subunit ribosomal RNA", at positions 29 to 507 of the family's 1533-position model. The record is from RNAcentral.